Molecule: non-coding RNA, 105 nt
Filed under: bovine gut metagenome
Description: THF riboswitch
Rfam family: THF (Tetrahydrofolate) riboswitch aptamer
About the family: THF riboswitch presents a pseudoknot that joins P1-P2 and the loop of P3 and two THF binding.
Source: RNAcentral
CAGAGUAAAAGUUCAAGCGUUGCUUAAUGCGUAGUGCUUUACAGACGGGGAGUUGCUGUAAGGACGAAUGGAUUUUCCUGCGGUUUGAACUUUGCAUCCCGCUGU